AGUGGCAUGAUCUCGGCUCACUGCAACCUCCGACUGCUGGACUCAAGAGAUUCUCCCCUCUUGAGCCCAGGAGUUCUGGGCUGUAGUGCACUAUGCGAGUCGAGUGUCCGCACUAAGUUCGGCAUCAAUAUGGUGAUCUCCCGGGAGCGGGAGUUUGCCUAAGGAGGGGUGAACCAGCCCAGGUGGGAAACGGAGCAGGUCAAAACUCCCAUGCUGAUCAGUAGUGGGAUGGCACCUGUGAAUAGCCACUGCACUCCAGCCUAGGCAACAUAGCGAGACUGUCUCUAAA
Callithrix jacchus (white-tufted-ear marmoset) is the source of this 289-nucleotide unclassified non-coding RNA. It matches the Rfam family "Metazoan signal recognition particle RNA". Rfam says of the family: The signal recognition particle (SRP) is a universally conserved ribonucleoprotein. It is involved in the co-translational targeting of proteins to membranes. The record is from Ensembl. NCBI's taxonomy places the organism in Eukaryota, Metazoa, Chordata, Mammalia, Primates, Cebidae.